CCCGCCCCCUCCCCCUGCCAUGCCCCUAACCUCCAGGGAGGGAAGAGGGGCUGGAGAUUGAAUCCAAUUACCCAAUGGCCAGUGAUUCAAUCAACCAUGCCUAAGAAACGAAGGGUUUGGAGAACUUCCGGGUUGGUGAAGAAGAAGCUUGACUGGAUCAGAAAUUGUGUUUGUGUACCACAUAGAACCCCUGAGCCUAGGACAGCACCUGGCACACAAUCAUGCUCAAUAAACGUUUCUGAAUGUGAUACAUGAAUGACUAUCGCCUGCUCUGGAAAGUCUUCCUAACCACCAGAAUGGAUUAGUCCUCC
This 311-nucleotide long non-coding RNA is filed under the name Equus caballus (horse). RNAcentral's name for it is "lncRNA (ENSECAG00000056076.1)". Lineage: Eukaryota; Metazoa; Chordata; Mammalia; Perissodactyla; Equidae. The record is from RNAcentral.